RNAcentral lists this ribosomal RNA (450 nucleotides) under uncultured bacterium. Its description in RNAcentral is "bacterial SSU rRNA". It matches the Rfam family "Bacterial small subunit ribosomal RNA", at positions 29 to 524 of the family's 1533-position model. The record is from RNAcentral.
AACGAACGCUGGCGGCAUGCCUAACACAUGCAAGUCGAACGAAGUCUUCGGACUUAGUGGCGCACGGGUGCGUAACGCGUGGGAAUCUGCCCUUGGGUGCGGAAUAACUUCUCGAAAGGGAUGCUAAUACCGCAUAAUGUCGUAAGACCAAAGAUUUAUCGCCCAAGGAUGAGCCCGCGUAAGAUUAGCUAGUUGGUGGGGUAAAAGCCUACCAAGGCGACGAUCUUUAGCUGGUCUGAGAGGAUGAUCAGCCACACUGGGACUGAGACACGGCCCAGACUCCUACGGGAGGCAGCAGUGGGAAUAUUGGACAAUGGGCGAAAGCCUGAUCCAGCAAUGCCGCGUGAGUGAUGAAGGCCUUAGGGUUGUAAAGCUCUUUUACCCGGGAUGAUAAUGACAGUACCGGGAGAAUAAGCCCCCGGCUAACUCCGUGCCAGCAACCGCGGUAAU